AUUGAACGCUGGCGGCAGGCCUAACACAUGCAAGUCGAGCGGAUGAAGGGAGCUUGCUCCUGGAUUCAGCGGCGGACGGGUGAGUAAUGCCUAGGAAUCUGCCUGGUAGUGGGGGAUAACGUCCGGAAACGGGCGCUAAUACCGCAUACGUCCUGAGGGAGAAAGUGGGGGAUCUUCGGACCUCACGCUAUCAGAUGAGCCUAGGUCGGAUUAGCUAGUUGGUGGGGUAAAGGCCUACCAAGGCGACGAUCCGUAACUGGUCUGAGAGGAUGAUCAGUCACACUGGAACUGAGACACGGUCCAGACUCCUACGGGAGGCAGCAGUGGGGAAUAUUGGACAAUGGGCGAAAGCCUGAUCCAGCCACGCCGCGUGUGAGAAGAAGGUCUUCGGAUUGUAAAGCACUUUAAGUUGGGAGGAAGGGCAGUAAGUUAAUACCUUGCUGUUUUGACGUUACCAACAGAAUAAGCACCGGCUAACUUCGUG
Molecule: ribosomal RNA, 484 nt
Filed under: uncultured bacterium
Lineage: Bacteria
Description: partial 16S ribosomal RNA
Rfam family: Bacterial small subunit ribosomal RNA
Source: RNAcentral